CUCCAAACCAGAGCCUCUCAAACCUCAAAGCUCCAGGAGCUUUUCCCAUGGCCAAGUUCUUGAGACACCUUCGUUCCCUGACCGAUUCCUCCACCAUCCGCCUCCACCAAAUUCCUCUCUCCCAAAGAUGUGCCACUCCCUUGGCUUCCUCCUCAGCCCCUCCUUGUCGUCAAUCAUCCAUCGAGUCGACAGGAAUCAAAGUUUCCCCUAAGUUACAAACUUCUCCACCGCCACCGUCGACCUCACAUGGCGCCCCAUGCUCCGACCUUUCUCGUCGCCAACCAACGCCUCAAAUGGGACCUAGAUGAGCUCUAAUCAUGAUGCUCACAUUUGUUUCCCCUGUUCCUUGAGUAUCCGCACUCGUUUUUGGCCAUGCCACCGGCCACAUGUCGUCGUCCGCAGAGCCCCUGUGCGCCGCCCCCGUUUCUCCCCACCUGUGCUGCUCCAAGGAGUCCCCUGGCCUUGGGCAAGGUGCUGCCGCCUCUCCCUACAGCAACGCUGCCUUCUCCACCCCUGUCGCUGGCCGGCCAAGCGCCAUUGUGUGCUUAUGCUGCGUUCUGUUGCGUGGCUGGAGGUAGAAGAAAGGUUGGACCUGAUUGCUUGGGAAAUAAAAGAUCUAGGGGGUUAUCCAUAAAGGGUUGGUUUUAUGUUUGAAGGUGGAUUCUUUCUAGGGGCUAGAGCAUAAAACGUAGGGGGUAGAUUGUUAAUAAAAGGGUAGAACCGUGAGAGAGAAGGUUUUUCUAGGGGGUAGCUUGGAAAGUAUUUUCGGGUUGGAUUUGUUCGCUAAAGUUAAAAUGUUGCAAACUUUGAAAAUGCAUAGAAACUAGUAGAAAAAUGCUAAAAAUGUGAUCUUAUUGUGUUGGAUUCCUUGCAAAGUGUAGUUUUUUUUAGAACUGAGUAUGUGCAUGUUUCUGCCAUGUAUUUUGUGCUAUAUUUUAUUUUAUGUGAAGGCCAUUAAAUGCAUUAUAAAACACCUAGUGCUCUAAAAAUGGUGAAAUCACUUUUGUUAGUUCACUUGCGACAUGCAUGUUCAAGAUAUGAAAGUUGUGCCACUGGAUUUGAUGGUGUUCAUAAUGUUUUAGGUUAAAACCCUUAUUGCCAUGUUCAUAUUGCUACAUGCAUGAUAAAUAGUAGAAAAGUUUUUAAAUGAUGAAACCAACUCUAUUAGCAUUUGUGUGCCACAUAGAAUCUAGGUGAAGUGAUGUUGAUACUUUCAUAGUUAAUUUACAAACCUUUUUAGAGUUUAGGUGUUCAAUGGUAGUUUAACUUGUUUAAUCUAUAACUCUACAUUAAAAAUUGAGUUUAAUGCAAAUCCAACUCUCAUAGUGUUAUAUUGUUGUCUUCUUCUAGUGAGUUUCAUAUCAUGGUCAUUUCUCAACAAAUGAUUAGAAUCAUGCAAUUGCGUGCUUGCUUUUGAUCUAUUGUGGAAAAUAGUGCCUCUCGUCAUGAUUGUAUGAUUUUGCAUGGUUGAUAGCUAGAUGACAUAGCUCUAAAACUUUGUAGCUUUGUAUGCUUGUCUUUCCACUUAAAGAAAUAUCUAACUAGCAUGUUAAAAUCUUUGUUCAUGACAGAAUGUGACAUUUGUGUUAUGCCCAUUUAAUCGUGCUAAAACAAUGGUGUAAAAGGGAAACUAUGAAAUCACUCGUCUUAGUCUACAUGCAUGUUUGAAAUCCUUAGUCAAAUAGUCGUCCCUCACAGUGGCAUGGAUUAGUCGUGUGGUGUCCCUAAACUUGUUUCUUUAUGUUAGCAAUAUGCUGUCAUAGAGACAGGGUUAGUAUUUUCCUACAAAACUCUUAGGCAUACUUAGCUUAAUAUGUGUGUAGCUAAUGGUGAACCCAAAUUCUGAUAAUGUUUUCAUGUAUGUCCUGUCAUUUAAAGAAAAUGCCAACCGUGUUAUCUCAGGAGUGGUCUUUAGUAUUUGGUUGUAUUCUUUUUCAACAUUGAGAUCUUUGUUGUUGUUCGUUCCUGAUUUCAUGCACCUCAUAUGCUCUCAAGUUUCAUGCAUUCAUGAGCAUUUUGCACUGAUACCAUCAUUUCUAAUACAUGCACACAUUUCAUUCUUUUAGAGAGCAAUUUGCCAGAGAACAUCACCUUUGAACCCACAGCUGAGGGUGGCAUAGAAAUCAAGUUUGAGCCCAAAGAAAACCAAGGCAAGCCACUAAGCAUGUUUGUUGCCUCCUACAUUUAAAAUGAAAUUGUUACUAUGGGUUGCAUCUGGGUGAUAAUAACUUAAUCUUGCAACUUGCUUAGUCAUGCUUAGUCAUAAAAUGAUCACUUAGUAAAAGAAACGGUCAUAGGUUAAUCAACACCUUUACUAAUAAGGUUCUUUAAGUUGUUUAAAAAUUCAGAAAUAGGAUAACUUUCCAAAUAAGUGUUAAGCAACCCUAAAGUGAACCCAACCUUCUUUUGUGAAGUUUAAAUGAUUUGAACUUAAGAUGUGUACACAAUCACCAUCAAAGUCAACUCCGAGUUUUAAAUCGCAACACACCUUACUUGAUAAGAAAAUAAAUGGUUAUAACCUUGUCUAAGUGAAUGUGGUCCAAAUGCACCCUAAGCUUUUACAACGUUAAUGAAAUGCAACCUACACAUAAAAGCAUGAAACUGAAAUCUUGCAUAUGCAUCUCGUGUAGAGCUAUCCGCGCUGAUGGAACGUACGAGCUCAGCCUAGAACGUGAAGCAGGAGGGUGUCUGCUGAGCUGAAUGUGAUCAAGGCAAAUCAAGGCUCGAUCCAAGUUCGAAAGAGCCCAAGACUGAGUUAGGACAAGAAGGCAAGCCCCGGAGCAUAACCCAGUUUUCUAAAUUUAUGCACUACUUAUGCUAGAUAUGUUUGUGCAUUUAAGUUCAUAGGAGUUUCUUGGAACCUUAGUUGCAUGAUCCUAGGUACCUAUGUUUUGAAUACUAGCAUGAUAGGUCGUGUAGUUGCUAUGCUAAAUAGGAACUGGGUAGAAGUCGAGUGAUUUUCUGUCACUCGCGAGUUAUAGGAGUUGCUUGUUUACUUAUGUUGAAACCAUAAGGAUGACAGAUGGAGCCGGGCAAUUGGUUCUGAAUUGGUGGAUUGCCCCGUCUGUCUAGAAGAAAGCUGCUAAGGUUGUAAUGUGUCGGCGUUCAUGGUCAAGUGUUUGAAAGUACUAAGCUCAUACCUAGUAUGGGAUAGGGAAGCCUAGUACCUAAUUGGUCCAGGAUGUGGGCAUACUCCCCAGUCUCCUUGGAACUUGGUUCCCUUGCUGCAGCAUGUGGGUACAAGUGCAGUCACGGUACGACGUCUUCCGGGACUGUGGGGCCUUGUAUCCAAGGGAAGUGGGCCCUAACCACGUGUCGGGGAUUGAUGGGGACGGCUGACAUGUGUGGACCUGGUGUGGUACGCAUAUAUCAUGGGUUUAGGUUCACCUUGCAAGGUUAGAAACUCGAUUCAAAUCAUCUACCUCUCACAGUUUGAGACUGUUUGAUCACUAUUCCGCAUUGAGUAAGAAGUGGAACAAAGGAUGAUGAUUAAUACUGAUUCUUGAUUAAGUUUGCUUGAUCAACAUGCUUGCUUAGAAUAGGUGCUUACCAAUACUAGAUAAUCAACUAGAACCUGAUGCUAAAACUUGAAAGUAACGACCUACUUUAGCUGCUUUUGGCAAAACAAACCCCUCAGCCAAAAAGCCUUGGAUGUCUAGGAGUCGGUGGAGUAGUUACCACCUGACGGGUAAGCUUUGUUAAGUAUUAGUAUACUCAGCCUUGCUUGUGGCUAUCUUUUUUUCAGGUGCUAUUGUUUGCUUGGUUGCUAGUGUGACUCGGCCAUCCCAACCCCCUCUAGGUUGGACUGUUGAGUGGGACCCAUCCUCAGCCAGCGAGGAUCGUUGUGUCUAAUAUCAUGGCAGGCUUCACCAUGGUAUUGUGUCUCGACGUUAGACUUACCAUUGUUUUUUCGCUACUUUUGAACUCUGAAAUCCACUUUAUGCUUUUGACAUCCUGAGUUGUAAUAAAUGAAGUUGGGAUCUGUAAUAAUUUAUCUGGAUUGUUGUAAUCUCUGAACUCGUCUUCGUGCGAGUAUGCUUUGUUUCGAUCUGAGACAAGUGGUUUUAC
This 4068-nucleotide long non-coding RNA is filed under the name Setaria italica (foxtail millet). Its description in RNAcentral is "long non-coding RNA (SITA_LNC003018)". The record is from RNAcentral. Lineage: Eukaryota; Viridiplantae; Streptophyta; Magnoliopsida; Poales; Poaceae.